This 467-nucleotide ribosomal RNA is filed under the name uncultured bacterium. RNAcentral describes it as "partial 16S ribosomal RNA". It matches the Rfam family "Bacterial small subunit ribosomal RNA", at positions 29 to 507 of the family's 1533-position model. The record is from RNAcentral.
ACGAACGCUGGCGGCGUGCUUAACACAUGCAAGUCGAACGGAAAGGCCCUGCUUUUGUGGGGUGCUCGAGUGGCGAACGGGUGAGUAACACGUGAGUAACCUGCCCUUGACUUUGGGAUAACUUCAGGAAACUGGGGCUAAUACCGGAUAGGAGCUCCUGCUGCAUGGUGGGGGUUGGAAAGUUUCGGCGGUUGGGGAUGGACUCGCGGCUUAUCAGCUUGUUGGUGGGGUAGUGGCUUACCAAGGCUUUGACGGGUAGCCGGCCUGAGAGGGUGGCCGGCCACAUUGGGACUGAGAUAGGGCCCAGACUCCGACGGGAGGCAGCAGUGGGGAAUAUUGCACAAUGGGCGGGAGCCUGAUGCAGCAACGCCGCGUGCGGGAUGACGGCCUUCGGGUUGUAAACCGCUUUCGCCUGUGACGAAGCGUGAGUGACGGUAAUGGGUAAAGAAGCACCGGCUAACUACGUG